UGCAAGUCGAGGGGAAACGACGGGGAAGCUUGCUUCCCCGGGCGUCGACCGGCGCACGGGUGAGUAACGCGUAUCCAACCUGCCUCUGACUGAGGGAUAACCCGUCGAAAGUCGGCCUAAUACCUCAUGGCAUCGUCUGCGGGCAUCCAACGACGAUUAAAGAUUUCAUCGGUCAGGGAUGGGGAUGCGUCUGAUUAGCUUGUUGGCGGGGUAACGGCCCACCAAGGCUACGAUCAGUAGGGGUUCUGAGAGGAAGGUCCCCCACAUUGGAACUGAGACACGGUCCAAACUCCUACGGGAGGCAGCAGUGAGGAAUAUUGGUCAAUGGGCGAGAGCCUGAACCAGCCAAGUAGCGUGCAGGAUGACGGCCCUAUGGGUUGUAAACUGCUUUUAUGCGGGGAUAAAGUGAGGGACGUGUCCUUCAUUGCAGGUACCGCAUGAAUAAGGACCGGCUAAUUCCGUGCCAGCAGCCGCGGUAAUACGGAAGGUCCGGGCGUUAUCCGGAUUUAUUGGGUUUAAAGGGAGCGUAGGCCGUGGAUUAAGCGUGUUGUGAAAUGCAGGUGCUCAACGUCUGCACUGCAGCGCGAACUGGUCCACUUGAGUGUGCGCAACGCAGGCGGAAUUCGUCGUGUAGCGGUGAAAUGCUUAGAUAUGACGAAGAACUCCGAUUGCGAAGGCAGCUUGCGGGAGCACAACUGACGCUGAAGCUCGAAAGUGCGGGUAUCGAACAGGAUUAGAUACCCUGGUAGUCCGCACGGUAAACGAUGGAUGCCCGUUGUCAGGCUGUUUCAGCCUGGUGACCAAGCGAAAGCAUUAAGCAUCCCACCUGGGGAGUACGC
Molecule: ribosomal RNA, 839 nt
Filed under: uncultured Prevotella sp.
Lineage: Bacteria; Pseudomonadati; Bacteroidota; Bacteroidia; Bacteroidales; Prevotellaceae
Description: bacterial SSU rRNA
Rfam family: Bacterial small subunit ribosomal RNA
Source: RNAcentral